CAAAGAUAUACGCUUGGUGAACGCUAUAACUCCAGGAAAUUUUUAUGCAGCAUAAAAGAUUUCCUCUAGCUCAAGCGUUUGUCAAGCGUAUACCUGUAUGCUACACGCACGUAAUACAUACGCUACAAGCGCGUUUAAAACGCUACACAUACGUUUGAGACACGUUUAGGGCACAUUGUAUACGCUUCAAGAUCGUUUGACCUUAAC
RNAcentral lists this long non-coding RNA (207 nucleotides) under Mytilus galloprovincialis (Mediterranean mussel). Lineage: Eukaryota; Metazoa; Mollusca; Bivalvia; Mytilida; Mytilidae. The record is from RNAcentral.